RNAcentral lists this transfer RNA (82 nucleotides) under Candidatus Andersenbacteria bacterium RIFCSPLOWO2_12_FULL_45_8. Its description in RNAcentral is "tRNA-Leu". It matches the Rfam family "tRNA". From Rfam's summary of the family: Transfer RNA (tRNA) molecules are approximately 80 nucleotides in length. Their secondary structure includes four short double-helical elements and three loops (D, anti-codon, and T loops). Further hydrogen bonds mediate the characteristic L-shaped molecular structure. tRNAs have two regions of fundamental functional importance: the anti-codon, which is responsible for specific mRNA codon recognition, and the 3' end, to which the tRNAs corresponding amino acid is attached (by aminoacyl-tRNA synthetases). tRNAs cope with the degeneracy of the genetic code in two manners: having more than one tRNA (with a specific anti-codon) for a particular amino acid; and 'wobble' base-pairing, i.e. permitting non-standard base-pairing at the 3rd anti-codon position. The record is from RNAcentral. Lineage: Bacteria; Candidatus Anderseniibacteriota. RNAcentral also lists the same sequence under 2 other names.
GCCGAGGUGGCGAAAUUGGUAGACGCACUUGCUUUAGGAGCAAGCGGAGCAAUCCUUGGGAGUUCGAUUCUCCCCCUCGGCA